Eurytemora carolleeae is the source of this 1008-nucleotide long non-coding RNA. RefSeq lists it as uncharacterized. Lineage: Eukaryota; Metazoa; Arthropoda; Copepoda; Calanoida; Temoridae. The transcript is spliced from 3 exons. The record is from RefSeq and is a predicted model, not a curated record.
AAAAACUAACAAAAGUUUUUUUCAGCAUUCCAACAACUUGAUUGCUAAACCAGAGUUUAUUCAAAUCCUUGAAGAAAACAUAACAGAUUUGACGGAUAUAGUGCAGACUCUAGGAUUAGAAUCUCAUCAAUCAAAAGAAUUUCAAAUUUUUAAACAAGCUUCUGUUGCCCUUGCCAGUGCCAAGGAUAUUCUCCUAUUUGCCACAAUGUUGCCCUAAGAGGUUCUUAGUGUGAAACCAUUGCCACUGCAAAGAAAAUAUAUCAUAUAUCUUUGCCACAAUAUUACCCUAAGUGGUUACAAGUGUGAAAGUAUAACAUAUAGUUUUGCCACAAUAUUACCCUAAGUGGUUACAAGUGUGAAAGUAUAACAUAUAGCUUUGCCACAAUAUUACCCUAAGUGGUUACAAGUGUGAAACCAUUGCCAGUGCCAAAGAGCAUAUUACUUUGUCACAAUGUCAAAAUUAAAACCAUGGUCAUGUCAAAAGAUAACUUUACCCUAAGUGGUUCCAUGUGGGAAACCUUUACCAGUGCCAAAGAACAUCUUAAUUCUUUGUCACAAUGUCAAGACAUAAGAUAACUUAAAACGCUGCCAUAUAAUUGCUCCAAGUGGGUUGCUAUUGCAAAGACUAUUAUACUGCUUGGAAGUGCUUUCAUAAUGUUUUUCUUCUCUUUACAUUAAAAAACAACAAUUUUCCUACUUUUAUUGACGAAGUUUUUUUGGAGUAAUAUCUUUGAUUUCUGACUGCAUUGGCAACAAACCUACAAUUGCAAUGAUUCAUGUGAGGUCUCCUCACCAAAAAAUUGUGUCAGUUUGAUCAAUUUCUUGUAGUCUCUAGACCUCCCCCCCCCCUUCAGAAACCUUUUCAUAAUUCUUAAAUCACUCCUUAUAGCAUAGCCAAAAAUAGUUAAUUGUAGAUGAACUAGCUGAAAAUAUGAAUCAUGUAAUAAAUUUUAAAUCUAUUAAAUCUAUUAGUUAACAGUAUGAAAUAGACAUUGAAGUAUAAAAAAA